UACGUAGGGGGCGAGCGUUAUCCGGAAUUAUUGGGCGUAAAGCGUGCGUAGGUGGUUAGGUAAGUUUAAGAUAAAAGCCCGGGGCUUAACUCCGGUUCGUCUUAAAAACUGUCUGGCUAGAGUGUGGUAGAGGCAAACGGAAUUUCUAGUGUAGCGGUGAAAUGCGUAGAUAUUAGAAGGAACACCAGUGGCGAAGGCGGUUUGCUGGGCCAAAACUGACGCUGAGGCACGAAAGCAUGGGGAGCAAACAGG
This 252-nucleotide ribosomal RNA is filed under the name uncultured bacterium. RNAcentral describes it as "partial 16S ribosomal RNA". It matches the Rfam family "Bacterial small subunit ribosomal RNA", at positions 524 to 776 of the family's 1533-position model. The record is from RNAcentral.